CCCCUAGAUGUUCUGGGCCGCACGCGCGCUACACUGAACAGUUCAACAAGUCUUAACCUUGGCCGAUAGGUCUGGGUAAUCUUUGAACGCUGUUCGUGAUUGGGAUAGACCUUUGCAAUUAUGGGUCUUCAACGAGGAAUUCCUAGUAAACGCAAGUCAUCAGCUUGCAUUGAUUACGUCCCUGCCCUUUGUACACACCGCCCGUCGCUACUACCGAUUGAAUGAUUUAGUGAGGACUUCGGACUGAGUCCAAUGCGGCUUUCGGGCUGCGUUGGUAUUUCGGAAAGAUGUCCAAACUGUAUCAUUUAGAGGAAGUAAAAGUCGUAACA
RNAcentral lists this ribosomal RNA (329 nucleotides) under uncultured eukaryote. Its description in RNAcentral is "partial 18S ribosomal RNA". It matches the Rfam family "Eukaryotic small subunit ribosomal RNA", at positions 1470 to 1796 of the family's 1831-position model. The record is from RNAcentral.